RNAcentral lists this transfer RNA (75 nucleotides) under Candidatus Omnitrophota bacterium. RNAcentral describes it as "tRNA-Thr". It matches the Rfam family "tRNA". Rfam says of the family: Transfer RNA (tRNA) molecules are approximately 80 nucleotides in length. Their secondary structure includes four short double-helical elements and three loops (D, anti-codon, and T loops). Further hydrogen bonds mediate the characteristic L-shaped molecular structure. tRNAs have two regions of fundamental functional importance: the anti-codon, which is responsible for specific mRNA codon recognition, and the 3' end, to which the tRNAs corresponding amino acid is attached (by aminoacyl-tRNA synthetases). tRNAs cope with the degeneracy of the genetic code in two manners: having more than one tRNA (with a specific anti-codon) for a particular amino acid; and 'wobble' base-pairing, i.e. permitting non-standard base-pairing at the 3rd anti-codon position. The record is from RNAcentral. RNAcentral also lists the same sequence under 1 other name. Lineage: Bacteria; Pseudomonadati; Candidatus Omnitrophota.
GCCGAUGUGGCUUAAUGGUAGAGCAGCGGUUUUGUAAACCGCGGGUUGGGGGUUCGAUUCCCUCCAUCGGCUCCA